GUUUACAAGAUUAUUAAGUGAUAAUUUCUUUGUCAAAAAUCUAAAUGAUAAUGUUUUAAGACGCAUAUCAUUAUUUGUUUUGACACCAGCGAUGAAUACAAAGGAGACGUAUCAUUAGCAGUGUUAAUGUCCACGUUAAAUUUUAUUAUGAGGAAGAAAUGUGUAACGCGGUUUAGGAACCGCAAUCAUGAUAAUUACUUAUUACAAACUGCAAAUGACUAAAGUUUAAUAUGCUAUAUUGACCAUUGUAAAGUUUAGCUGAAUUAUAGAUCUGAAAACAGUUCAGAUACAAUCCCACAUGGACACCAGCAAUACAACGCAGUGUGACUAACACGAUACUACUAAAC
Molecule: long non-coding RNA, 347 nt
Filed under: Mytilus galloprovincialis (Mediterranean mussel)
Lineage: Eukaryota; Metazoa; Mollusca; Bivalvia; Mytilida; Mytilidae
Source: RNAcentral